AAUCAACGCUGGCGGCGUGCCUAACACAUGCAAGUCGAACGCGAAAGCCCCGCAAGGGGUAAGUAGAGUGGCAAACGGGUGAGUAACACGUGGGUGACCUGCCUUCGAGUGGGGGAUAACGUCCCGAAAGGGACGCUAAUACCGCAUGACAUCCUGCUCUUGGACGAGCGGAGAUCAAAGCUGGGGAUCGCAAGACCUGGCGCUUGAAGAGGGGCCCGCGUCUGAUUAGCUAGUUGGUGAGGUAACGGCUCACCAAGGCGACGAUCAGUAUCCGGCCUGAGAGGGCGGACGGACACACUGGGACUGAGACACGGCCCAGACUCCUACGGGAGGCAGCAGUGGGGAAUUGUUCGCAAUGGGCGCAAGCCUGACGACGCAACGCCGCGUGGAGGAUGAAGAUCUUCGGGUCGUAAACUCCUGUCGAGCGGGAAGAACGUUUCGCGGAUGAAUAAGCCGCGGAAGUGACGGUACCGCUAAAG
Molecule: ribosomal RNA, 479 nt
Filed under: uncultured bacterium
Lineage: Bacteria
Description: bacterial SSU rRNA
Rfam family: Bacterial small subunit ribosomal RNA
Source: RNAcentral